RNAcentral lists this ribosomal RNA (429 nucleotides) under Chloroflexota bacterium. RNAcentral describes it as "Chloroflexi bacterium partial 16S ribosomal RNA". It matches the Rfam family "Bacterial small subunit ribosomal RNA", at positions 355 to 776 of the family's 1533-position model. The record is from RNAcentral. Lineage: Bacteria; Bacillati; Chloroflexota.
UGGGGAAUAUUGCACAAUGGGCGCAAGCCUGAUGCAGCCAUGCCGCGUGUAUGAAGAAGGCCUUCGGGUUGUAAAGUACUUUCAGCGGGGAGGAAGGGAGUAAAGUUAAUACCUUUGCUCAUUGACGUUACCCGCAGAAGAAGCACCGGCUAACUCCGUGCCAGCAGCCGCGGUAAUACGGAGGGUGCAAGCGUUAAUCGGAAUUACUGGGCGUAAAGCGCACGCAGUCGGUUUGUUAAGUCAGAUGUGAAAUCCCCGGGCUCAACCUGGAAACUGCAUCUAAUACUGGCAAGCUUGAGUCUCGUAGAGGGGGGUAGAAUUCCAGGUGUAGCGAUGAAAUGCGUAGAGAUCUGGAGGAAUACCGGUGGCGAAGGCGGCCCCCUGGACGAAGACUGACGCUCAGGUGCGAAAGCGUGGGGAGCAAACAGG